CCUACGGGAGGCAGCAGUGAGGAAUAUUGGUCAAUGGGCGGAAGCCUGAACCAGCCAAGUCGCGUGCGGGAUGAAGGCCCUACGGGUCGUAAACCGCUUUUGCACGGGGAUAACACCCUCCACGUGUGGAGCUCUGCAGGUACCGGUCGAAUAAGCGUCGGCUAAUUCCGUGCCAGCAGCCGCGGUAAUACGGAGGACCCGAGCGUUAUCCGGAUUUAUUGGGGUUAAAGGGUGCGCAGGCGGACGUGCAAGUCAGCGGUAAAAUCGCGGGGCUCAACCGCGCCCCGCGGUUGAAACUGGGCGCCUUGAGUGCGCGAAGGGCAGGCGGAAUGCGUGGUGUAGCGGUGAAAUGCAUAGAUAUCACGAGGAACCCCGAUUGCGAAGGCAGCCUGCCGGCGCGCGACUGACGCUGAGGCACGAAGGCGUGGGUAUCGAACAGGAUUAGAUACCCUGGUAGUC
RNAcentral lists this ribosomal RNA (459 nucleotides) under uncultured bacterium. RNAcentral describes it as "partial 16S ribosomal RNA". It matches the Rfam family "Bacterial small subunit ribosomal RNA", at positions 338 to 795 of the family's 1533-position model. The record is from RNAcentral.